UAUAAACUAUAGCAGCUUAAUAUGCAACAGUAUGCUUCCCCUCACUUUACAACAUGAUUGGAAAAUUUUAUUUUCACUCUUCUCUGAUCCUCCCCCCCAUAAUGGUAAAGAACUAUUUUAUAAUUGACAGAUAUACGUUCCCUUUUAUGAAGGAAUCCUUCGUUUUCAUUCACUUUGAUAAUACUUUCAUUAGUUACAAACAAGUAUGAUAUGGAACAAUCUGAUAUUGAAACACCCAAUAAUUUCUGUUGAAUUGAACUGUGCUUUAGUAACUUUUGUAUACUAACAGAUUUUUUGUUUUCACAAAGACUACUCUUUUUAAAUUAAUCUAAAGAUCUAAGGCUGUCCAUGCAAUGCAAAGACCUCUCUGUCUUUGCAAUCAUUUUUUAAAAUAAAGUAUUUUUUAAAUCUAGAAGUUGAUACUUGGUCAGUUGAAAGAAAAAAAACCCACCAAUAAAAUGGCAGAUUACACAGUAAGUUUUAAACUGUAAAUUAGUUGUAUAUUACCUCUCUUCUUUAUGCCCUUGUUAGAGCUAGAUGAGAGUCACCUUAAAAAAGCAUCAGAUUCAGACUUGGCUUGUCAUAAGAAAUCAUUCUUUAAGGAAUACACUCGUCACCCACUAAAAGAGAAUUUUAGGACUGGAAAAAAGUCAAUUUACAUAAAGUGUGUCUAGUAUCUCAAAUAAAUACAAUCUAUACAAGAGAAUAUUGAUAUAUAAUACACCAUCUAUUAAGCCUCUAUUAAGAACUGUGCUAGGGGAGAUCUAAGUUUAAGAAUUCUGCCUUCAAAGAGUAGAGUCUAAUAGAAGAAUAAGAUAGCCACAGUCUACAAUCUGAUCUAAUUGAUGCCUUGGAAAGUUAAAGAUGAAUUUUGGAGAAGUCUAGAAAGGUUUUCAAGAAGAGAUUGUACUGAUUUGAGAUUUAAAGAGCAGGUAGGAAUUUAUAGACAAGGGGAGAGAAAGAUGAUUCUAGCCUGGGGAACAAUUCAAGAAAAGCCUUAGAGAUUAGUGUUGUGUGGGAUGAAGGACCCCAGAGUUGUGCACAGGGUUGGAGGACUAGGAAUGAUACUAGGGACAUUUGAAUGUGCAAUAGGGAACAACUGAGGUUUUUAAAAAAUUAAACAAGAUACAUCAGUUCUAUGCCUAAGAACAUUAUUUUUGUAGUGAUAAGAGGGUGUGAUUGGAGGAAAAGCAAGAGCAGAGGUUUAGUUAUAGAAGCCCUGGAAUUGACGUUUAAAGAUGUUCUGGGUUUGCAUUCUAUCCCUAAGGCCCUUGAUUUUUGUAGAGUUUCAAUUUCUGUAUCUGUAAAGGGGAUAUGGAUAAUUUCAUUUGAUAUCUUACAAGGAAGAUCAAAUGAGAUAGUGUUUUCUCCUAAAGUACUGUAAGUCAACUAUUAGUUAUAAUUAAAAGACCUAGAGUAGUUUACCCAAUGAGGCCUGACCAAUUCUAUUUUAUAUUAUAGAAAUUAAGUGGGAGAUUCUCAUUUUAAGUAAAAAGAAAUGGCCCUGAAAUUUAACACUAUCAUGUUUGCCUCAGAAAUUAAUGUUUAUUAAGUACAUUCUCCAAGAAGUCAUGAAAAAAAUUAUAGCCAAUUAGGUUGAAAUCUUUUUGAACUUUUAUACAGCUCCUAUGUGAUUCUUUGGAGAAGGAUGUGUGUUAUGUUAAACUCAGUGACAUGUUGUUGACUGUUCAUAUCUCUUAGGAGAGAGCUCAGCUCUUACAGCAUGGUCUUGUGUGAUUAGUCCAAUCUUCAGAACUCCUCAUGAAUCUGGGGGUGCCAUCAUACUGAUUUUCUUAUAGGUUCCACUUCUUAUAUUGGAUACAUGUCUUGGAUGGAUCCUUAGGGGGAUGAUCCAGAGGGCAACGGUGGGUAUAUUCAGUCCCCAAUAUCUUAGAAUAAUUUGCUAAAGAGGGAUAAAGUCAUUUUAGAAAAGCUGGUCUAAUGGUAAAAUUAAGAAAUAACGGCAUAGCAAAAUCCAUUGUUACCCUUGUGAUGUCACAUGAAAGCAAGGAAGGCUGCCAGCUCUGGGCAAAAUUGUUCCUUUGCUCCCUGUGGUGGUGUCCACCUUAUGGGAGGAUAUGAAUAAGACCCACACAAGCUGAGCACACGUGGCUAGCUUGUGGUCUGCACCAUGUAAAAAAAAUACCCACUCUGGUGAAAUCAUAAAUACAUUUUAGUAUAAGGUAGAUUAUUCAUUUGUUUUUUUGCUUUUAGUGCAAGUUCUCCCUUCACCCCAGCAUUAUUUUCACGGAAGUAGCCUUGAAAACAGCUUGAAGUCCACAGUGCAAGAUGACAUCUGAAACCCAUCCACUUUUAGUGGAUGGACGUGGGCGCAUCUGUUGGAUUUUUCUUUAUGGGGAUUAUGAUCUGAUGUUUGGUGUAUAUAUAUAUAUGUGUGUGUGUGUGUGUGUAACAGAAUUUAUAUGUAGCACUUUAAGGUUUGCAAAGCACUUUAUAAAUAUUUCAUGUUAUCCUCACACCAACCCUGGGAGUAGUUGCUAUUAUCUCCAUUUUACAGGUGAAGAAACAGAGGCAAACUGCUUAAGUGACCACUUAGGGUCACACAGCUAAUAAAUAUCUGAGG
Long non-coding RNA from Sarcophilus harrisii (Tasmanian devil), 2584 nucleotides. Lineage: Eukaryota; Metazoa; Chordata; Mammalia; Dasyuromorphia; Dasyuridae. The record is from Ensembl.